ACCGAGACUAGAGUCACAUCUAGAUAUAGUCAGUUAUCGUGGUGUGCUAUGGUCCUCGGAGAGUAAGAACUGGCCUUUAUUCACUGACUGUUCUUUCUGUAGUACAGUUAGCCACCUGGUUAGUGACAGAG
Molecule: small nucleolar RNA, 131 nt
Organism: Sphaerodactylus townsendi
Lineage: Eukaryota; Metazoa; Chordata; Lepidosauria; Squamata; Sphaerodactylidae
Product: small nucleolar RNA SNORA3/SNORA45 family
Exons: 1
Source: RefSeq, a predicted model, not a curated record